Molecule: ribosomal RNA, 253 nt
Filed under: uncultured bacterium
Lineage: Bacteria
Description: partial 16S ribosomal RNA
Rfam family: Bacterial small subunit ribosomal RNA
Source: RNAcentral
UACAGAGGUCUCAAGCGUUGUUCGGAUUCAUUGGGCGUAAAGGGUGCGUAGGUGGCGCCGUAAGUCGGGUGUGAAAUCUCGGAGCUUAACUCCGAAACUGCAUUCGAUACUGCCGUGCUUGAGGACUGGAGAGGAGACUGGAAUUUACGGUGUAGCGGUGAAAUGCGUAGAUAUCGUAAGGAAGACCAGUGGCGAAGGCGGGUCUCUGGACAGUUCCUGACGCUGAGACACGAAGGCCAGGGGAGCAAACGGG